Molecule: unclassified non-coding RNA, 179 nt
Filed under: uncultured Paecilomyces
Lineage: Eukaryota; Fungi; Ascomycota; Eurotiomycetes; Eurotiales; Thermoascaceae
Description: sequence contains ITS2
Source: RNAcentral
CAACCCUCAAGACCCCUUCGGGGGACUUGGUGUUGGGGACCGGCCCGGCCUGUUUGCUCAGCGCCUGCCGCCCCCGAAAUGAAUUGGCGGCCUCGUCGCGGCCUCCUCUGCGUAGUAGCACAACCUCGCAACGGGAGCGUGACGCGGCCACUGCCGUAAAACAACCCAACUUUUAACAG